GACGAACGCUGGCGGCGUGCCUAAUACAUGCAAGUAGAACGCUGAAGGAGGAGCUUGCUUCUCUGGAUGAGUUGCGAACGGGUGAGUAACGCGUAGGUAACCUGCCUGGUAGCGGGGGAUAACUAUUGGAAACGAUAGCUAAUACCGCAUAAUAGUAGAUGUUGCAUGACAUUUGCUUAAAAGGUGCAAUUGAAUCACUACCAGAUGGACCUGCGUUGUAUUAGCUAGUUGGUGAGGUAACGGCCCACCAAGGCGACGAUACAUAGCCGACCUGAGAGGGUGAUCGGCCACACUGGGACUGAGACACGGCCCAGACUCCUACGGGAGGCAGCAGUAGGGAAUCUUCGGCAAUAGACGGAAGUCUGACCGAGCAACGCCGCGUGAGUGAAGAAGGUUUUCGGAUCGUAAAGCUCUGUUGUAAGAGAAGAACGAGUGUGAGAGUGGAAAGUUCACACUGUGACGGUAUCUUACCAGAAAGGGACGGCUAACUACGUG
RNAcentral lists this ribosomal RNA (495 nucleotides) under uncultured bacterium. Its description in RNAcentral is "partial 16S ribosomal RNA". It matches the Rfam family "Bacterial small subunit ribosomal RNA", at positions 28 to 507 of the family's 1533-position model. The record is from RNAcentral.